AUGGUAGAGGUGCGGCAGAGAUCAGUAGUUGUUUCCGGAGUGACAUCAAUGGGAAGCAGUGAAAGGGGCUGUCGCCGAAGUUAGCAGAAUGUCAAACCUGCUGGCUGGGGUGCUGUUGAAUAAGCGGCACACUGUCACGGUGUUGUAUUGAUCCGGUCAUCGGGUCGAUGUAGUGCGUUGUUUUUGCCAUCUGGGCUUGUCUGCUCUGAUUUAUCCAUGAUUUAUCAAGAGCAGGGAACCGUGGAGUGCUACC
This 253-nucleotide non-coding RNA is filed under the name uncultured Parendozoicomonas sp. RNAcentral describes it as "Lysine riboswitch". It matches the Rfam family "Lysine riboswitch aptamer". From Rfam's summary of the family: Riboswitches are metabolite binding domains within certain messenger RNAs that serve as precision sensors for their corresponding targets. Lineage: Bacteria; Pseudomonadati; Pseudomonadota; Gammaproteobacteria; Oceanospirillales; Endozoicomonadaceae. The record is from RNAcentral.